This 145-nucleotide unclassified non-coding RNA is filed under the name uncultured Leotiomycetes. RNAcentral describes it as "sequence contains ITS2". The record is from RNAcentral. Lineage: Eukaryota; Fungi; Ascomycota; Leotiomycetes.
CAACCCUCAAGCUCUGCUUGGUAUUGGAUGUUACCGUUUAUGGUACAUCUAAAAAUUAGUGGCGGUGCUAUUCAGCUUCAAGCAUAGUAAUACAUCUUGCUCUGGAGUUGGAUGUGUGCAUGCCAGCAACCCCUAAUUAUCAAAA